AGAGGAAUAGCUGGGUCAAAUGGUGGUUCCAUUCCCAGAUUUCCAAGGAAUCUCCAGAGUGGUUGCACCAAUUUGCAGUCCCACCAGCAAU
RNAcentral lists this microRNA precursor (91 nucleotides) under Marmota monax (woodchuck). Lineage: Eukaryota; Metazoa; Chordata; Mammalia; Rodentia; Sciuridae. The record is from RNAcentral.